CCUGCCACUAGAGGCUUUGCAGGUGUGGCCGCCUUUGUCCUAUGUACAUCAGUAGGUGGCAGAGAGGAGAGAGGCUAUGUCGACGAAUACCUAUGUCCAAAGGUAUUCUGACCUUUGAACAUCUGAAUGAUUAGUAGCUCCACAUU
RNAcentral lists this small nucleolar RNA (146 nucleotides) under Mus pahari (shrew mouse). RNAcentral describes it as "predicted gene, 25501 (MGP_PahariEiJ_G0034632.1)". It matches the Rfam family "Small nucleolar RNA SNORA17". Rfam says of the family: snoRNA ACA 17 belongs to the H/ACA family of snoRNAs and is predicted to guide pseudouridylation of the 28S rRNA at positions U4659 and U4598. It shares the same host gene together with ACA43. Lineage: Eukaryota; Metazoa; Chordata; Mammalia; Rodentia; Muridae. The record is from RNAcentral.